Astatotilapia calliptera (eastern happy) is the source of this 1556-nucleotide long non-coding RNA. NCBI's taxonomy places the organism in Eukaryota, Metazoa, Chordata, Actinopteri, Cichliformes, Cichlidae. The record is from Ensembl.
GAAGAAAACAAUUAAUAAAAAGCAGUGCACAAAUGUGUGAUUAUGUAAUAGCACUUUCAUAUUUAAGAGUUAAUGUAUGUGUUUUGUCAUGUGUUCAUGCAUGUUUAUUGAACUGUCUUAUAACGGAAAAAAAAAUUCAUUUGUCAGUUGGUACGAGAUGUGUGAAUCCUGCAUCUCCUGCUAGAAGCUGGAAGAACAGGCUGUUGUGUGACUAUGUCAUUUAAACAUUACUUCAUUAUGAAUCUCCUUAAAUUAUUUAACAACCCUGUUAUGAGCAAGUCCUGAUAAUAAUGGAGCAUGUUGGGUUUGGUUUUUUUGUAAAGGUAUCAACUGUCCUAUGAGUCAGUCUGAGGAAAAAGAUGAGGGACUGCUCCAUCAAAUGAGUAACAUGGCAGCCAGGCAGAACGCGAGAGCAGUAGCAGAUCAUGGAGCAGCACAGAAGUUUGAGAUUUUGACUCUGAUGGACUCAAGUCAGAGUCACCGUUUGCACUGGAAGGUGGUGGCUUCCUCCUCUUCACAUUUGUUGCUCCCUUGCAGGACUCCAGGCAAAGAUGAAAAGUUUCUGGAAACUGUUCAUUGUAACUUUUCGUCUACCAUUUGUAAAUACAGGAAGGAACUGCUGGAUCAUGCUGGCAACCCUGUUAACCACAGAUCAUGUUGUCAUUUCAUUUGAUUUCUAAUCACACUGCAAUACACUUUCAGAUAAAAAGGUUCAUUCUGUUCAUUUAGACACCGUCUUGAGUAACUGCAAUAGAGAUUAGAUUAGAUUAGAUUAGAUUAGAUUAGAUUAGAUUAGAUCCCUCGGGUGGGUUCCUCCGGGAAAUUCGGUUUCCAAUAGCACAGCACCGACAGAAGUUACAGAAUGUGAGCAGAAAUAUAUCAUAUGUACACAUAUAUAAAUACAGAGAUAUAUAUAAAUACAGAGUAUACAAAAGGGAUAAAUAGAAUAAAUAGGAUAAGAAUACAAGGGAAUUGCACAUUUCAAGUAUUGUGAGUCUAUUGCACCGUUGGAUAUUAACAAAAAGUAUUGCACAGUGAAAAGGCACUACAGCUUAGUUGUCCCGCCCCCUUUGUCCUGUUUCCCCUCCCUAUGCCCUCAAGAGAGGAGUUAAACAGUUUGAUGGUGUGUGGGACAAAGGAGUUUUUAAGUCUGCUGGUUCUUGUCUUUGGGAAAAGCAACCUAUCACUGAACAGACUCCUCUGGUUGUUUAUGGCCAUGUGGAGAGGAUGCCCAGCAUUGUCCAUAAUGUCCAGCAGUUUCUUUAGUGUCCUUUUCUCUGCCACUGUCCCAACAGUGUCCUGCUUCAUGCCAACCACAGAGCCAGCCUUCCUGAUCAUUUUUGCCAGAUAUAUCAGUUCAUUUGCAUUUAAGUGUGCUUAUACUACAUAUUUGUGUUUACAACUUUCAUGAAUUAAACUAUGUGUUAUUAUGUGUUCCUUGAAAUGGUAGUGACACCUCAACUUGCCCAUGCAACUUUACCUUUUCAAUGUUGUAUCUAACAACAUUGUAUGAAGGCUUAUACAUCAAGGCUUCCAAAGCGCAGCCUCAAUUCAUG